AGCAGAGACUGAGCCACUGCACUCCAGCUUGGGUGAUAGAGUGAGACUCUGUCUCAAAAACAAAACAAAACAAAUCAAACACUGCUUUGGGCUCAAAUCCCUGAUUCUCAGUGUAUGAACUUUGCAACUUUACCUCUCUGUGCCUGCUUCCUCACUUACCAGGGAAAGUUUCAGAACUGUUGCUCCUGGCAGACACUUCGUGGACACGCAUACUCACCAUGCCUCCUUCCUGCUGACAACUGGGGACUUAAGUCACAACCUGCAGACUAGCACAGAGAAAUGUCUGACUCUUCAGUUGAGUUCAACAAAUGCUUAUUGAGCACCUCCUAAGUACCAGGCACUGUUGAUACAAAGCUACUCAGGAGGCUGAGG
RNAcentral lists this long non-coding RNA (372 nucleotides) under Homo sapiens (human). Its description in RNAcentral is "HSALNT0311550". The record is from RNAcentral. Lineage: Eukaryota; Metazoa; Chordata; Mammalia; Primates; Hominidae.